UACGUAGGGGGCAAGCGUUGUCCGGAAUCAUUGGGCGUAAAGCGCGUGUAGGCGGCUCGGUAAGUCCGCUGUGAAAGUCAAAGGCUCAACCUUUGAAAGCCGGUGGAUACUGCCGGGCUAGAGUCCGGAAGAGGCGAGUGGAAUUCCUGGUGUAGCGGUGAAAUGCGCAGAUAUCAGGAAGAACACCUAUGGCGAAGGCAGCUCUCUGGGACGGUACUGACGCUGAGACGCGAAAGCGUGGGGAGCGAACAGG
This 253-nucleotide ribosomal RNA is filed under the name uncultured bacterium. Its description in RNAcentral is "partial 16S ribosomal RNA". It matches the Rfam family "Bacterial small subunit ribosomal RNA", at positions 524 to 776 of the family's 1533-position model. The record is from RNAcentral.